CCUACGGGUGGCUGCAGUCGAGAAUCUUCGGCAAUGAGCGCAAGCUUGACCGAGCGACGCCGCGUGCGGGAUGAAGGCUUUCGGGUUGUAAACCGCUGUCAGUGGGGAGGAAAUUCAUGGGGGCACUCCCCCUUGAUUGACCGAUCCGCAGAGGAAGGACGGGCUAAGUUCGUGCCAGCAGCCGCGGUAAGACGAACCGUCCGAACGUUAUUCGGAAUCACUGGGCUUAAAGAGUGCGUAGGCGGCUUAUCAGGCGGGGUGUGAAAUCCCUCGGC
Molecule: ribosomal RNA, 275 nt
Filed under: uncultured bacterium
Lineage: Bacteria
Description: partial 16S ribosomal RNA
Rfam family: Bacterial small subunit ribosomal RNA
Source: RNAcentral